Molecule: long non-coding RNA, 367 nt
Filed under: Capsicum annuum
Lineage: Eukaryota; Viridiplantae; Streptophyta; Magnoliopsida; Solanales; Solanaceae
Description: long non-coding RNA (CANN_LNC004979)
Source: RNAcentral
CACCUUGUAAAGCUAGCUUCUCAGGUCCUCUCCAUUAAAUUUUAGUAAAUAUAGGCAAAGAGGGUGAAUAAGGUAUAGUUUGGGAGGGUUUUGGUUUGGGUAAUGGAUGUGGGGUUUUUGGUGGUGGUAUAGCUUUUAAGGUGAGUUUGGUAUCUAUGGAUGGGGAAUUUAUUGUUUAAAUUAGGAAGCAUAACUCAUGGGUGGUUGUAUAUAUUGGAAAGGGAGAUGUAAGUAAGAGAGUGGGUGUUGAAAAGGGGGUUUUGCAUAUUUGUAUAGACUCAUAUUUGUCUAAUAGAACCCUUGAAGUGAAGGUUAUUGGUGAGAUCCAAGUAGUGCAUGUUAUGGGAAACUGCACAAUGAAAGGGGC